Molecule: long non-coding RNA, 705 nt
Organism: Dromaius novaehollandiae (emu)
Lineage: Eukaryota; Metazoa; Chordata; Aves; Casuariiformes; Dromaiidae
Exons: 6
Source: RefSeq, a predicted model, not a curated record
AAUCUCCGAAGUGUUCAGAUCGCAAAUUUGCUGUCUCAGCCGUCUUUGCUCUUUCCUGAUGCCUUGUGCUCUGAAUUGGGUCACAUGCAAUUUUGCAACAGUACAAUAGUUCUUUUAUGUGAGAACUGUCCCUCCUCGACUUGCUUCCUCUGCAUCUUCAAAAGAAGGCUAUAAAGAGCAAAUGCAGAAGCUAUUGCAAAAUAUUUCCAACAUAGACUGCUCCUCUAAAAGUCUGGGUUCUAUCCAGAACGAAAAUCAGCAAUGUCAGCAUUUUAAAAGACAGGCUGAUCUCCAAGCAGUUCAGAAACAAGGAAUCCUGGAAAUUUGUGAGCAGAAAAUUAACCCAUCGGUACCAGCAGGUCACAGUACACAAAUGAUCUGAGAUUUUGUGCCAAACUUCUCUCCCCACUCUCUUCUGUGGUGAAGAAUCAGAGGACUGGACCAUAAUUUUGGAUGGAUGAGAAAUGAACUCUGACAACUAAGCUCAAGCUAAAAACAAAUUCAACAAAUAAAGAUUUUCCAGAGCAGAUACCAGCACUCUCACGUGGCCUGUAGUAAAACUUUGUAGCAGGGAAGAAUCUUGAAGACUGUCCAGCAACUUUGAUGAAUGCUGAAUUGUAGUGAAGCUGUCCACCUUGCAAGUGGAAGAGGACUUAAUUAUGUUUAUGUCGUAGACCUCACACUGCCUGAGAGUCCUGUGUGAAA